CUGAAACAGGAUCUGGCCCUCUUGCUCUGGGCUCCCUUUUGUCUGACUGUAGACUCUGGGCACCCUGGCCGCUUGCAGGGGUGAGCACAGCUGUCAUCUGCUCCUGAAGGCGCGGAUGCCCUGACUGUGUGGAUCCUGUCUGUGUGGCCCCUGGCACGCUGUGACCUCCUGCAGCACCGCACUUGCAGUGCUGGCUUUGAUAAUGGAGUUACUUUUAGGCUGAUCUGCCUCCUAGCAAAAUGCCUGACACCGAGUAGGUGCCUGGUAAGCACUGAGUAAAG
This 281-nucleotide long non-coding RNA is filed under the name Homo sapiens (human). RNAcentral describes it as "long non-coding RNA NONHSAT189934". Lineage: Eukaryota; Metazoa; Chordata; Mammalia; Primates; Hominidae. The record is from RNAcentral.